AGGCCAUAGCUCAAUGGGAGAGCAUCUGCCUCACAUGCAGAAUGCCCCGUGUUCAAUCCCCAUCUAGGUCUG
Non-coding RNA from Podarcis lilfordi (Lilford's wall lizard), 72 nucleotides. The record is from the annotation of a GenBank genome assembly. Lineage: Eukaryota; Metazoa; Chordata; Lepidosauria; Squamata; Lacertidae.